UGGGGAAUAUUGCACAAUGGGCGCAAGCCUGAUGCAGCCAUGCCGCGUGUGUGAAGAAGGCCUUCGGGUUGUAAAGCACUUUCAGCGGGGAGGAAGGCGAUAAGGUUAAUAACCUUGUCGAUUGACGUUACCCGCAGAAGAAGCACCGGCUAACUCCGUGCCAGCAGCCGCGGUAAUACGGAGGGUGCAAGCGUUAAUCGGAAUUACUGGGCGUAAAGCGCACGCAGGCGGUCUGUCAAGUCGGAUGUGAAAUCCCCGGGCUUAACCUGGGAACUGCAUUCGAAACUGGCAGGCUAGAGUCUUGUAGAGGGGGGUAGAAUUCCAGGUGUAGCGGUGAAAUGCGUAGGGAUCUGGAGGAAUACCGGUGGCGAAGGCGGCCCCCUGGACAAAGACUGACGCUCAGGUGCGAAAGCGUGGGGAGCAAACAGG
RNAcentral lists this ribosomal RNA (429 nucleotides) under Chloroflexota bacterium. Its description in RNAcentral is "Chloroflexi bacterium partial 16S ribosomal RNA". It matches the Rfam family "Bacterial small subunit ribosomal RNA", at positions 355 to 776 of the family's 1533-position model. The record is from RNAcentral. Lineage: Bacteria; Bacillati; Chloroflexota.